RNAcentral lists this ribosomal RNA (261 nucleotides) under uncultured archaeon. Its description in RNAcentral is "partial 16S ribosomal RNA". It matches the Rfam family "Archaeal small subunit ribosomal RNA", at positions 748 to 1008 of the family's 1478-position model. The record is from RNAcentral.
UAGCCGUAAACGAUACUCGCUAGGUGUCGGCCACGGUGCGACCGUUGUCGGUGCCGUAGGGAAGCCGUGAAGCGAGCCACCUGGGAAGUACGGCCGCAAGGCUGAAACUUAAAGGAAUUGGCGGGGGAGCACAACAACGGGUGGAGCUUGCGGUUUAAUUGGACUCAACGCCGGGAAGCUCACCGGAUAAGACAGCGGAAUGAUUGCCGGGCUGAAGACCCUGCAUGACCAGCUGAGAGGAGGUGCAUGGCGUGUGACUGU